CAUAUGACACGCUCUCAGUUACUGGCAUAAUAAGACUUAUCUGACUGACACCACUGAAUUAAUUGCUCUCUGUUGCUGAGCGAGGUGAAGACCUGAAGUACAACAGAACACUUUGAAAGCAUCAAAUGCCAGGUGAAUGUCAUCAAGUUCAGAAUGAUCCCUGUGCUCCAGCAUGGAUUUGAAUACAAAAUCCUUUUAGACUUGUGGCUCAGCAAUUUCCACAACAGCUCUUUGAAACCAUGUAUACCAAGACCAUAUGAAACAAAGAGGAAUACAUUAUGGUGGAAAAGAUGAGGGAAAAUAAAUAGGAGAAUGGGAAAUCAGAAUGAAUUGAUGAGAAAGAGAAGACACAAUGGUCCCAAAUUAUUUCACACUGGUCUGGGAAAGGCACUCAGAAUGUCACAGCUAAAUACAAGGUGGAACAGAAGUGGCCAUCUUGAAUGUGGGCCCUUGAUCUCAGCUGACAAGUGAUCUCAGUGCCAGCUGGAUCUACAUGACUCUUCAAAGGGAUAAAAUACAGAGCCGCCUUCCCUACAGUGGAUCAGAAGAAGCAAGCACAGAACUGUGGGUAGAGAACAGUAGACUCCAGUAUAUCCCAAAGUGUUUAGUAGAGUGAACCCCACUGAUUUGCAUGUCUAGCUAAUCUGUAUUGUUCUGGGGAAGGUUGCAGGAGACAAUGCCAAGGAACUGUGGGAAACUAGAUCCCGUCCCAAUCUCAUAAGCAUGAAUAAUCAGAGUAGCUGCUAAUGAUUGUGUUUGACAGGAGGGAGAAACUAGGCAAGGGCAGGAGAACUAGUGACUCCAGGCCUUAACAGUAAAAUUAAUUUAAUAUUGCAGAUAACUGAAUCUGUGAUAAAGGAAACAAGGCCUUCACUCACAUAACAGAGAAGGAACAAGAUAGCAUGAUACAGGGUAAAGAUAGGGAGGGGGAAAGGAUUUACUGCUGGGGGAAUUCAUAUAGUCCUGCAUUUUUCUGUGCCCUUGCACAGAAAAAUGCAAAUAAAAUCUACCGGGGGACACGGCCUCUUCCCCAGCAGCGUGUCUGUUCCAGCAUGCAUGGAGCAACCUCAGAGAUGGGAUCAGGGGGCAGGCCAUGCAUGCCUGCAUGAUCACCGGUGGGGGGUGGGGCUAGUGGUAAGUGGGUGAACAAUCGAGAAAGAGAUUCUGUCCCUCUCCCUUGCUACCAUAGCUCUCUGGUGUGGAAGGGUAAGGCUUUUUAUUAUGCAUGAGGCAGUCUAGAGGCACAAAUGUAGUAGCCCUGCCUGAGUUAAUUGAUUCAUUCUCUGAGGCAUUAGCAGCCUGACUAUGUAGUUAGUAACAUCGUUAAAGUUGCUGUUGAUGGUUAAUUGAUCUUAUUCUCUGAAGCAGAAAUGUAGCAGUCUGACUGUUAAAGUUAAUGUUGCUAUUGUUAGUUAACUGUUCCCAUUCUCAGUCAAUUUCCCCAGGAGCAUAAAACCUGUAAAAGUUUUAAGGCCCCUACAUUGCCAGAGUGAUGUAAAGGAGCCUUAUUAUAAAUGACAGUAAGGGAAU
Chrysemys picta bellii (western painted turtle) is the source of this 1530-nucleotide non-coding RNA. The record is from RefSeq and is a predicted model, not a curated record. Lineage: Eukaryota; Metazoa; Chordata; Testudines; Emydidae.